AGUAAUGUAGCUUAAUGAUAGAGCACAUAUCUAACAUGCAUGAGGCCCUGGGUUCAAUCCCUAGCCCUGCAA
This 72-nucleotide transfer RNA is filed under the name Heterocephalus glaber (naked mole-rat). It matches the Rfam family "tRNA". From Rfam's summary of the family: Transfer RNA (tRNA) molecules are approximately 80 nucleotides in length. Their secondary structure includes four short double-helical elements and three loops (D, anti-codon, and T loops). The record is from Rfam by way of RNAcentral. Lineage: Eukaryota; Metazoa; Chordata; Mammalia; Rodentia; Bathyergidae.